This 465-nucleotide ribosomal RNA is filed under the name uncultured bacterium. Its description in RNAcentral is "bacterial SSU rRNA". It matches the Rfam family "Bacterial small subunit ribosomal RNA", at positions 338 to 795 of the family's 1533-position model. The record is from RNAcentral.
CCUACGGGUGGCUGCAGUGGGGAAUCUUGGACAAUGGGCGAAAGCCUGAUCCAGCAAUGCCGCGUGCGUGAAGAAGGCCUUCGGGUUGUAAAGCGCUUUUGUCGGGGAGGAAAUCCUAACGGUUAAUACCUGUUGGGGAUGACAGUACCCGAAGAAUAAGCACCGGCUAACUACGUGCCAGCAGCCGCGGUAAUACGUAGGGUGCAAGCGUUAAUCGGAAUUACUGGGCGUAAAGCGUCCGCAGGUGGCUUGAUAAGAUAGACGUGAAAUCCCUGGGCUCAACCUAGGAAUUGCGUAUAUGACUGUCUCGCUAGAGUAUGGGAGAGGGGGGUGGAAUUCCGCGUGUAGCAGUGAAAUGCGUAGAGAUGCGGAGGAACACCGAUGGCGAAGGCAACCCCCUGGCCUAAUACUGACACUCAUGGACGAAAGCGUGGGGAGCAAACAGGAUUAGAUACCCUAGUAGUC